RNAcentral lists this ribosomal RNA (468 nucleotides) under uncultured bacterium. Its description in RNAcentral is "partial 16S ribosomal RNA". It matches the Rfam family "Bacterial small subunit ribosomal RNA", at positions 28 to 507 of the family's 1533-position model. The record is from RNAcentral.
GACGAACGCUGGCGGCGUGCUUAACACAUGCAAGUCGAACGGAAAGGCCCUGCUUUUGUGGGGUGCUCGAGUGGCGAACGGGUGAGUAACACGUGAGUAACCUGCCCUUGACUUUGGGAUAACUUCAGGAAACUGGGGCUAAUACCGGAUAGGAGCUCCUGCUGCAUGGUGGGGGUUGGAAAGUUUCGGCGGUUGGGGAUGGACUCGCGGCUUAUCAGCUUGUUGGUGGGGUAGUGGCUUACCAAGGCUUUGACGGGUAGCCGGCCUGAGAGGGUGACCGGCCACAAUGGGACUGAGAUACGGCCCAGACUCCUACGGGAGGCAGCAGGGGGGAAUAUUGCACAAUGGGCGGAAGCCUGAUGCAGCAACGCCGCGUGCGGGAUGACGGCCUUCGGGUUGAAAACCGCUUUCGCCUGUGACGAAGCGUGAGUGACGGUAAUGGGUAAAGAAGCACCGGCUAACUACGUG